AUUGAACGCUGGCGGCAUGCUUUACACAUGCAAGUCGAACGGUAACAGGGUGCUUGCACCGCUGACGAGUGGCGAACGGGUGAGUAAUACAUCGGAAUGUACCCAGUAAUGGGGGAUAACGCUUCGAAAGGAGUGCUAAUACCGCAUACGCCCUGAGAGGGAAAGUGGGGGACCGCAAGGCCUCACGUUAUUGGAGCAGCCGAUGGCUGAUUAGCUAGUUGGUGAGGUAAAGGCUCACCAAGGCGACGAUCAGUAGCGGGUCUUAGAGGACGAUCCGCCACACUGGAACUGAGACACGGUCCAGACUCCUACGGGAGGCAGCAGUGGGGAAUCUUGGACAAUGGGCGAAAGCCUGAUCCAGCAAUGCCGCGUGCGUGAAGGAGGCCUUCGGGUUGUAAAGCGCUUUUGUCUGGGAGCAAAUCCUGGCCUCUAAUACAGGUCGGGGAUGAGAGUACCAGAAGAAUAAGGACCGGCUAACUACGUGCCAGCCGCCGCGGUAA
This 500-nucleotide ribosomal RNA is filed under the name uncultured bacterium. RNAcentral describes it as "partial 16S ribosomal RNA". It matches the Rfam family "Bacterial small subunit ribosomal RNA", at positions 30 to 523 of the family's 1533-position model. The record is from RNAcentral.